CUUAGCACGCGAGAUACACCUGUUCCCAUGUCGAACACAGUAGUUAAGCCGCGUCACGCCGGAAGUAGUUGGGGGUUGCCCCCUGUGAGAUAGGGUCGAUGCUAAGC
Molecule: ribosomal RNA, 107 nt
Filed under: Streptococcaceae bacterium
Lineage: Bacteria; Bacillati; Bacillota; Bacilli; Lactobacillales; Streptococcaceae
Source: RNAcentral